This is a long non-coding RNA of Delphinapterus leucas (beluga whale), 1103 nucleotides long. RefSeq lists it as uncharacterized. NCBI's taxonomy places the organism in Eukaryota, Metazoa, Chordata, Mammalia, Artiodactyla, Monodontidae. The record is from RefSeq and is a predicted model, not a curated record.
GCGGCCCUGAGCUCACGGGCGUCUCGUGUACUUCUGGGGCGUCUGCCGGCGAGGCACAGCCAGCCCCGUGUUAGGGUCUGAGCCCCUCCGGCUGUCUCGGGUUUAUGGAGACUAUGCUGUGUGCCGUGCCUCCUGCCAGGAGCUGUCAUGCAUUUUGCCGCGUUUGCUCCUCAGCAGCCUGCUGAGUCAGGUGCCAUCGCCCUGAGAGCCCUCGUGUGUCUUGGGCAGGUCUGUGCAGAGGACGCCGUCUCCGACCACGGCUUCGAGUUGGGCUGCCGUUACCUCGCUAAGUGACCUCCAGAAGGCAAGCAGACUUCCUGGGUCUGGGUGUCCCUGUGCGGGAUUGGACCCCGGGACUUUCUUGGGGCCGCAUCCAGACCCCUUUACUGCCUGGUGCCUCCAUCUCCGGCUUCUGGGUGUGCUGGGGGCCAACAGCUCACAGCCACCCCCUUCUCUGAAUAGUUAAUUGUCCUUGGGGAACUGCUGCGCCCUGGAAGUUACCACUCCCCAAACGCCUGGAGCUCAUGACUGAUUGGGGUUGCAGUAUAAAGGCCCAGCUCCUUUGCCUCCAAGAGAGUUGACUCGUGCUAUUUGUGCUCCGAGCUCCUCUGGAAUGAAGUUGAAGGAGUGAGAAUCCAGAAUAAUGAGAGGACAGCCAGCAGGGGAAGGAAGUCCCCGGGAGGCGAGUUGGUGUGAUUGAUGGAUCUCAAGGUGUGAGACUUGUUUGGCUUUGGAAAAUCCUGCCAAACUGUAUCUCAAGGCCAUCUACGCGUUCCAUCGGCGAUGAAGGAGAGCUGUUGUUCCCCACCCUCCAGUGAUCAGGGUCGUCCUUGUGGGAGGAGGGCUGGCCUUGUGCACAGCUGACAGGAGCCUGGCCUCCUCAGGAACCUCCAAGGAUUUGGCUUCGGGACAAUGCAGGGCUGCAUCCACGUUGAGAUGAGCUCGGUUUCCUCAGGACUGGCUGGGAGGUGCCUCCAUGGGAGAAAAAGGUCGUCCAGAACACCCAAGACGGGACUUCCCUGGUGGUGCAGUGGUUAAGAAUCCACCUGCCAAUGCACGGGACGUGGGUUCGAUCCCUGGUCCAGGAAGAUCCCAAAUGCCGC